AGCAGCCGCGGUAAUUCCAGCUCCAAUAGCGUAUAUUAAAGUUGUUGCAGUUAAAAAGCUCGUAGUUGAACUUCGGGGUUUACCCAUUGGUCAGGCUUAAUUGUCUGCACUGGUGAGAUGAAUCUCUACCAUCUGAGGAACUUUCAUGCCAUUUAUUUGGUGUGAUUGGAAAUCAGGACUGUUACUUUGAAAAAAUUAGAGUGUUUAAAGCAGGCUAACGUCUGAAUACAUUAGCAUGGAAUAAUGAAAUAGGACGGACUGAUUCUAUUUCGUUGGUUUCUAGGAUCACCGUAAUGAUUAAUAGGGAUAGUUGGGGGCAUUAGUAUUCAAUUGUCAGAGGUGAAAUUCUUGGAUUUAUUGAAGACUAACUACUGCGAAAGCAUUUGCCAAGGAUGUUUUCAUUAAUCAAGAACGAAAGUUAGGGGAUCGAAGACGAUCAGAUACCGUCGUAGUCUUAACCAUAAACUAUGCCGACUAGGGAUCGGACGAAGUUAAUUUUAUAAUGACGCGUUCGGCACCUUACG
Molecule: ribosomal RNA, 524 nt
Filed under: uncultured Diversisporaceae
Lineage: Eukaryota; Fungi; Glomeromycota; Glomeromycetes; Diversisporales
Description: SSU rRNA
Rfam family: Eukaryotic small subunit ribosomal RNA
Source: RNAcentral